GACGAACGCUGGCGGCGUGCUUAACACAUGCAAGUCGAACGGAAAGGCCCUGCUUUUGUGGGGUGCUCGAGUGGCGAACGGGUGAGUAACACGUGAGUAACCUGCCCUUGACUUUGGGAUAACUUCAGGAAACUGGGGCUAAUACCGGAUAGGAGCUCCUGCUGCAUGGUGGGGGUUGGAGAGUUUCGGCGGUUGGGGAUGGACUCGCGGCUUAUCGGCUUGUUGGUGGGGUAGUGGCUUACCAAGGCUUUGACGGGUAGCCGGCCUGAGAGGGUGACCGGCCACAUUGGGACGGGGAUACGGCCCAGACUCCUACGGGAGGCAGCAGUGGGGAAUAUUGCACAAUGGGCGGAAGCCUGAUGCAGCAACGCCGCGUGCGGGAUGACGGCCUUCGGGUUGUAACCGCUUUCGCCUGUGACGAAGCGUGAGUGACGGUAAUGGGUAAAGAAGCACCGGCUAACUACGUG
Molecule: ribosomal RNA, 467 nt
Filed under: uncultured bacterium
Lineage: Bacteria
Description: partial 16S ribosomal RNA
Rfam family: Bacterial small subunit ribosomal RNA
Source: RNAcentral